UUUGCAGCACACCUAUAUUAAAGCUUCUUGACUUGCUGAUUUGGCAAACCUGUGCAUGUAUACAGUUGUGGAAUAUUUUAAACAAUUCAUGAGAACUCAGUGAUCCCAGCUAGUUAUGAUCCACAGCUUAUAGAAACCCUGGCAUGAGGAAUACUACAUUAUUGUACAGGAAAAUAUUUGGAAGCACUUUAGUAGGAACCAUACCAUUUACUGAUCCAUUUGCACUGUUUGUGCUGUGUGGGACUGUCACCAUGCAUAAGAAAUUUGUUGGCAUGUGUGAAGAAACUGUGGUACCUGGUGAUGAGAAACCUUCUUAACUGUGGGUGGAGUGCUCCAGAGGUGUGACCCUAUCCAUUGGUACUACAAAGAGAUUUAAGAUACUUAGAGCAGUGACUGAAGAUUACUGGCUUAUGGAAUGUGGUGCUUGUAGUGUGGUAGAUAUUUACCAACAUUUCAGAGGAACCUGCUGCCUCCUUCAUCAGGUUGUGAAGAAGGAUGGAGCAGGUUCCUUUGAAACAUUGGUCACUACCAGACUACACAGUAUCACAUCUGAGAAGAGAGGAGUCUUCACUACAAGGAUUUCCUGUGUGGAUACUGAUGCUGAGGUGCUCCAGAGUGUGAACUGAGCAGGGAGCUUCCAGGAAUUCCUCACCUGCCCUUUGUGACCCAGGAAGGAACUUUCCUGUCACAUGCUUGCUCUGUGCACCGAAUAUGAGGCAUCCCUGUUGUGAAGGUUUGGUAGAACAUAAGGAUGCUUAUGGAUAGCUUUGCGCUGGAGAGGACAUGUGUGGGCCCAGCACAGAAUUUAAUUUCUCAGGAGAUAGUACGCAAAACACUCUUCAGUGAUUUCAAGUGCUUCUUAUCAGCAACUAGUACAUACAUAUCAUGGACAAGGGGAAGACAUGGGCAUGCCUAGCUGAGUAAAAAAGUCUGUGACCCUGUCUGAACGUACUUGUUCUGGAGCUAAGCUAUCUCAUUCUGUAAGCUCUAUAAGAAUGCUGGUAUACUCAUACAUGAUGAAUGAUUAUUUUAUACUUGACUUCUGUGCUAGUGCAAUGGGAUUAUAUCACAAUAAAUGGUAAUUAUUGUUAAUUUAUCAUAUUUCCAUGUCAUAAACUUGUAUAUGUAUGGCUAAUUAAUCUAUUCCACAUAUUAUUUUAAAUUAAAAUGUACCACAUCCCUGUUCUCAACAAAAUAUAAGUCUCUACAGUUGCCCAUAUUUCCCUAUCACCAUCCCAAAGGAAAUAUACAAGCUUAAUAAUAUGGCGCUGCAGUGCUCAGUAUGUAGUCAAAUACUUGUUAUGUUUCAACAUUCUAACCUUGUCUGAGAAACAAGGGAGUAGCCUCA
Cryptotermes secundus is the source of this 1348-nucleotide long non-coding RNA. RefSeq lists it as uncharacterized. Lineage: Eukaryota; Metazoa; Arthropoda; Insecta; Blattodea; Kalotermitidae. The transcript has 5 exons. The record is from RefSeq and is a predicted model, not a curated record.